RNAcentral lists this transfer RNA (75 nucleotides) under Candidatus Falkowbacteria bacterium RIFOXYA2_FULL_35_8. Its description in RNAcentral is "tRNA-Met". It matches the Rfam family "tRNA". Rfam says of the family: Transfer RNA (tRNA) molecules are approximately 80 nucleotides in length. Their secondary structure includes four short double-helical elements and three loops (D, anti-codon, and T loops). The record is from RNAcentral. RNAcentral also lists the same sequence under 2 other names. Lineage: Bacteria; Candidatus Falkowiibacteriota.
CGCGGGGUAGAGCAGUGGCAGCUCGCUAGGCCCAUAACCUAGAGGUCGGGGGUUCGAAUCCCCCCCCCGCAACCA